RNAcentral lists this ribosomal RNA (396 nucleotides) under uncultured bacterium. RNAcentral's name for it is "partial 16S ribosomal RNA". It matches the Rfam family "Bacterial small subunit ribosomal RNA", at positions 523 to 917 of the family's 1533-position model. The record is from RNAcentral.
AUACGUAGGGGGCGAGCGUUGUCCGGAAUGAUUGGGCGUAAAGGGCGCGUAGGCGGCGCGGUAAGUCUGGAGUGAAAGUCCUGCUUUCAAGGUGGGAAUUGCUUUGGAUACUGCCGCGCUUGAGUGCAGGAGAGGUUAUCGGAAUUCCCGGUGUAGCGGUGAAAUGCGUAGAGAUCGGGAGGAACACCAGUGGCGAAGGCGGGUAACUGGACUGCAACUGACGCUGAGGCCCGAAAGUGUGGGGAGCAAACAGGAUUAGAUACCCUGGUAGUCCACACUGUAAACGAUGAAUGCUAGGUGUAAGAGGUAUCGACCCCUUUUGUGCCGGAGUCAACACAAUAAGCAUUCCGCCUGGGGAGUACGGCCGCAAGGUUGAAACUCAAAUGAAUUGGCGGG